CUCCUCCUUCCUUUUCCUCUACUCUGGUGUGAGUCCUUCCAUGUAGUUCCUUCAGAAAAAUUCAUCUACUUUGCCAGCAUGGGUUCACGAAGGGCAGAUCCUGCUUGACCAACCUGAUCUCCUUCUAUGAUCCAGUGACCCGUCUGGUGGAUGAGGGAAAGGCUGUUGAUGUGGUCUACCUAGACUUCAGCAAAGCCUUUGACACUGUCUCCCACAGUAUUCUCCUCCAGAAGCUGGCAGAUUGUGGCUUGGACAGAUAGAUUCUUGGCUGGGUAAGGAACUGGCUGAAGGGCCGGGCCCAGAGAGUGGUGGUGAAUGGAGUUAAAUCCAGCUGGUGACCGGUCACGAGUGGUGUUCCCCAGGGGUCGGUGCUGGGGCCUGUCCUCUUUAAUAUCUUUAUUGAUGACCUUGAUGAGGGUAUUGAGUGCACCCUCAGUAAGUUUGCAGAUGACACCAAGCUGGCUGGAAGUGUUGAUCUGCCUGAGGGUAGCGAGGCCUUACAGAGGGAUCUGGAUAGGUUGGAUAGCUGGGCUGAAGCCAAUGGGAUGGGAUUCAACAAGACCAAAUGCCGGGUCCUGCACUUUGGCCGCAAUAACCCCAGGCAAUGCUAUAGGCUUGGGACAGAGUGGCUGGAAGACUGUGUAGAGGAAAUGGACUUGGGGUUGUUGAUUGCCACUAGACUGAACAUGAGCCAGCAGUGUGCCCAGGUGGUCAAGAAGGCCAAUGGCAUCCUGGCUUGUAUGAGAAAUAGUGUGGCCAGCAGGAACAGGGAAGUAAUUGUCCCCCUGUACUCAGCCCUGGUGAGGCCGCACCUUGAGUACUGUGUCCAGUUUUGGGCCCCUCACUACAGAAAAGACAUCGAGACCCUGGAGCGUGUCCAGAGAGGGGCAACCAAGCUGUUGAGGGGUCUGGAGCACAGACCUUAUGAAGAGCGGCUGAAGAAGCUGGGGUUGUUCAGUCUAGAGAAGAGGAGGCUGAGGGGAGACCUUAUUGCUCUCUAUAACUACCUGAAGGGAGGUUGUAGUGAGCUGGGGGUCAGCCUCUUCUCUUGUGUGACUAGUGAUAGGACGAGAGGGAAUGGCUUCAAGCUGCGUCAGGGAAGAUUCAGGCUGGACGUUAGGAAAUACUACUUCUCUGAAAGGGUGGUCAGGCACUGGAAUGGGCUGCCCAGGGAGGUGGUGGAGUCACCGAGCCUGGUGGUGUUCAAAAACCAUUUGGAUGUUGUGUUGAGGGACAUGGUUUAGCGGGAACCAUUGGUGAAGAGCGAACGGUUGGACUGGAUGAUCCUGUGGGUCUUUUCCAACCUUAGCGAUUCUAUGAUUCUAUGAUUUGGGGCUUGAAAAGCACCAGGUUGUUUUAGAUAUCAGUAAUUUCAAUAUCCUUUGAUAUUUUUUAACUGCAUGUUUAAAUCACCCUGAACAAAAUAGGCAGAUCCAGCACAAUAACCAAAACCCAUACAUUAUUCAAAUGACACUUACUUCCACUUGUACUCAUAAUAAUAACCUUUACUAAGAACCCUACUGAGUAAA
Molecule: long non-coding RNA, 1529 nt
Organism: Gallus gallus (chicken)
Lineage: Eukaryota; Metazoa; Chordata; Aves; Galliformes; Phasianidae
Source: Ensembl